RNAcentral lists this long non-coding RNA (375 nucleotides) under Prunus dulcis (almond). RNAcentral's name for it is "sRNA ncRNA". The record is from RNAcentral. Lineage: Eukaryota; Viridiplantae; Streptophyta; Magnoliopsida; Rosales; Rosaceae.
UGUCUGAUGAGCCAAACACUAGUCACUGAUUCACUAUUCGACAAGAUACGGGUGCAUGUUGUCAACAGCUUCCAAAACGAGACUCUGGAAGUUCAUUGUAAAUCCAAGGACGAUGAUCUCGGGCUUCACCAUAUCCCCGCGAAUCACGAAUUCAAUUGGCAUUUUCGGAUUGCCAUUUUUAAGAGAACUCUCUUCUUCUGCGAUACGUGGUGGAGGGGUGGAAAAGCCAGUUUCCAUGCCUUUUCUGCCGAAGAAGGUUUUCUCAAGUUUUGUGGUGAUGGAGAUUGCAUGUGGAGAGCAAAUGAAGAUGGGAUGUCCUUGCUUGAUUAUCACCACCAACAAUAUCAUCUCAUGCAUAGAUGGGAAUCAUCCUAA